This 253-nucleotide ribosomal RNA is filed under the name uncultured bacterium. RNAcentral's name for it is "partial 16S ribosomal RNA". It matches the Rfam family "Bacterial small subunit ribosomal RNA", at positions 524 to 776 of the family's 1533-position model. The record is from RNAcentral.
UACGGAGGGGGCUAGCGUUGUUCGGAAUUACUGGGCGUAAAGCGCGCGUAGGCGGACCUGCAAGUCGGGGGUGAAAGCCCGAGGCUCAACCUCGGAACUGCCUUCGAUACUGCGGGUCUCGAGUCCGGGAGAGGUGAGUGGAAUUCCUAGUGUAGAGGUGAAAUUCGUAGAUAUUAGGAAGAACACCAGUGGCGAAGGCGGCUCACUGGCGCGGUACUGACGCUGAGGCGCGAAAGCGUGGGGAGCAAACAGG